UCCUUUUUCUGUUUCUUCUUCUGUUUCCUUUCGUUCCUUUUCUUUUUUCUCUCUUUUUCCAUUUGUUUAUGUUCGUCACUUGUGUUUCUUUGAUUGUGUCGUUGAUUCCGAAAGAGGGGUAUGAAAGAAAACAAAUAAGGCUCAAAGAGGGUGAUAAAAAGGUAAAGUGUUUAGAUAGCAGAACAAAAUACCUUCGUCAUCUCAAACUUCAAAAUAUGCCAAAUACAAACAAGUGCAAUCAGAAUAAAGAAACCAUACACAUCAUCUCUUGACCGUAUCGGAAUUGACGGCCAUUUCCACACAAUUUUUUCUACAUCCGUCAAAUAUAAUGUGCCAUUAGGCAACACUCUUACUCUUAUUAGCACGACCGGCCCCCUGUAAAUUUGGCCAACUUGCUUUUACGGGGAUUGUUUAUGUUCUAUUUGACCCAGUUUCACAUGGUUAGGGCGCCAAACAAUCUCAAAACGUCCAAAUCUAUUCUUAUUUCCUCAAAUGCUCUCAUCGUCUUCAAAAUGGUUUCAUUACUUCCCGACAAAUGUAGCUUUUAAAGAUCAGACUGAGAAGUAUGCAUGCAUGUCAUGUCACUAGAACCAGCAAAAGACAAAACGAUAAGAUAGAAAAGAACUAAAGAAAGAGAAAUUAUUGGAAGUGACAAAAGAUCGUAAUUUGCAUUAGACAAACGAUGAGAUAGUUCGAAUAACAAAACAAACAAAACAAACUAGUGUAGAACCCUAGAAUGAACUGAAACAAACAUGGACAACACUAAACAAAUCACAACAACAAAAUAAGCUAGACAAAAAUGAAAGGAUAAGAGGGUUUGAUCACAAGAUAAUAUGCGGAUUACUACCCUGCAAAUAACCCGGACAACAGAAAUGACAACAAAAUGGACCACCAAAGCUCCUCCCCGGCUGACCUAGGAAUGGAGCGUCUUUCCAAUCACCAACAUUAGGAACUUUACAAACUUUCAUUACAUCAUCCUCAACAAGUUAUUUUUGGGUCUAUGAGGCUCUCAAAGAAUUCUCAUAUUCCUUUUCAAAACAAAUCAUGCCCACCAUGUCUACCUCAUUAUGCGCAUGCGAUGGAUUUUUUCCUGGUGUCCGGUGCAUCCAGAUUUUGUACGAUGAUGUUACCUGCGUUAAUAAGCUCUUGAACUUCUUUCUUCAGCUUCCAGCACUUUUCCAUGUCAUGCCCCGGAGCAUCUAAGCAAUAUGCACACUUUAGAGAAACAUCACAUUUUAAAGGGUUUGGCAUUUUUAUUUGAAUCGGCUUUAGCAUGCCUACUUGCUUCAACUUCUGGAACAAACUGACAUAUGAUUCUCCAAUACGGGUGAAAGCCUUUUCUCAUUUCAGCAACCUCUCGUUCCUAAACGCCUGAUCUGGCCUAAAAUCUGACUUAGGGAGUUUCUGGUCUACUCGCGUGGGGUGGAUAGGCAUUUUGUGGAGCUGGGUACUUGGCAAGUGAAGUAUGUAUAUGGGAGUACCGUGGAGAGAAGUAACAUUGGGGAGCGCCAUCCAGUGCAUGAGGAUAUUCAUGGGGUACUAUGUCGAGGUUGGAAAUGUUGAUCAGGAGAGCCCUUUGGAUCAUCUUUUCUGUUUCUCUCUCCUUUCCGAGCUUAUCGCGAUGUCCUGAAUGUCUUUUGAGCAACUCAUGAUUUUUCCCGACUUGAUUCCCUUUUCCACUAGCUCCCCCAUUUUUAACACAUCAUCGAAAGGUCUGCCCACGGACGGGAUAAAAUGAUUGAAGUAGGUGGGCCCCUAGGCCUGUAUGAAAUUUUCAACCAUCUCUUCUUCAUCAAUCAGGGUAUUGAUUCGAGCAGCUUGCUCCCUCCAUCUGAGCCCAAACUCUCUAAUGCUUUCCCAUGGCUUCUUUUCCAUUCUAGAUAGGGAGGAAUGGCCCACGGAUGGUUCUUUCAGCUUCCUGAAUUCCCUGUUUGUCCCUUCUCUUUCUGUGAACCUUCCAUUUUCAAAACGAGGCUUAUCUUGUGGGCAUUGUUCGUCCAAGUUGGGACCCUUAUGAGUGACCUAGGAGGGGUAAUAUUGGGCAUCACGAGCUCUGGUUAAGUGUUCUUUGUCGAGCAUAGUGGAUGUGACCGGAAGGCACCUUUGGGAAAAGAUAGUUGGAUGAUGAGUGAUGAAGCUACUAGAGUGGUUCGGAAAACUGUUAUAAGCGGGUAGAGAUGGGAAUAUGGAGGAUCAUCCGACAUUGUGUUCGGUAUUUGUGUAAGGACAGAAUCCAGGAAGCUAGCGGUGGCGGGGGUGGUGCUUUCCAAACAUCCACGCCCGAUACAUGUCUCCCACAUGCUAUCUCAGCAUUUUCACCUCUUCCACCAACCCGUUGACCUAUUCAACCGGCUGUUUUUAGGCAUUGGUACCAACUCACUCAGUUCUGUUAUUCUCCGCCAUUGUCUUUCGCCUUUGUGCUGCAAAGGAGAGUUAUCUUAAAACGACAAACCAACCACCUUUCUGAAAUGACAUGCCGAAAUGAAACCAUCAUGUUAGCGUUAGGGCAUUUAACUCAUUGAUAAUCUCACAUUUGGGGAAUGCAUGCACCUAAGCAGUUGACAAUCCCUAUUAUGCAUUUGCUAUCGCAUGCAUCAUCCCGGCCUUUUCUCGUUUUUGAUUGCAAACUCUCCUAUUUUCCUUUCUCUCUUUUUCUUUCUUUCUUCUCUUGUUUUCUUUCUUUCUUCUCUCAUUUUCUCCAUUUAUUUCUUUCUUUUCUUGGUUGUCCAUUUUUUUCUUUCCACUUUUGGUUUUUGCCUUAUUUUCUUUCUUCUAUCUUUUCCUUGUCUUUCCGUUCUUUUUCUUUUUCUCUUUUUUAUUUGGUUAUGAUCGAAUUCUAUGUCGAUUGCCAACGUAUCAUGGCCCCGCAUGAAUCAGACCGAGCGUAGUUCUUGCAAAUAAAAGAUAAACAACAAUAAAAUAUUUUUGAAAUUUUUCGAUUAUCAUGAUAAAAACAAAACCUACAAACUUAACGAUGAAGUACAAACUCGAAAAUCAAACGACCCAUACACCCUAAUCAAAAUAAAUACAAACCCAAAACAAAAUGACAAAUUCCUUCCUCUGUAUGCCAAUUUUGAACAAAUGGUUAUUUUUGCAAACGUGACCCAUUCUUAAUUUCACAUGAAUUUUGAGGCCGAGGAGGACAAUUUUAACAUAUCACAAACUUGACUGUUCUUUUACGAAAACAACCUUUCGACAGCUGAAAGAUACUCUAAGGCUAUAUCGACAAGAACAGUUUUAAGACACUACCGAAGCUGGCUCGCCUUAUUUUGACUAAAAAUUCAAAUGGCAUUCACUGGCCCACUAGCACUUUUCUUGUUUUUUUAAAUUAAAAUAAAAGACCCGAUUUUGCAAACACGACCUUUCAGCACCUUGGGGACGAAGAUUUUAAGGUUGCAUUUAGCUAAUCGGCCAAAACCUUGAAAGAUGACCAAAGGUGGCUAUUCUCGCAAAUGCAACCUUCCGGUGCCCUUUUAGGGACAUUCGGCUAUUUCUGAUAAAAAUGGCUUCACCUUUCUAUUCAUGCCAAAAUUUAGAACUUAGAUAUUUUUUGGCUAUUUUUGCAAAGGCGAGGUUGGGCCCGAUGAAGGUUGCCUAUGUAUCUGACAUCCGGUGAGAACCAAACCUGCGUAGUUCGGACAAAUUAACCGAACUAUUUUAAAACUAAACUCUUUUCCUUUUAUCUUUUUCAUGGCAUGACAAACUAUUUUUCCUUUUCCAUUUUUUUGAAAACAAGACAAACUAAAGACUCUUUUUUUUUUCUUUUUCAUUUUCAACAAACAAUAAACAACCUAUUUUUCCCAAACUAAAAUAAAACUCUUUUUCCAUUUUCUCAAAGUUUCUGCAGAGUUUCGACAGUAUUUUGGCAUUGAUUCUUCUAAAACUAAGCAAUUAACUCUCUACACUGCUAUUUCUCUCUUUUUCUCUUUUUCUCAAUUUGACAGUAUUCUUGAUAUUCAAAAGUCAGUCAGCGUGCAGGUCCGAGACAAAUAAAUGCACGGAAAACAAGUAGGAUGCAUUAGGGUGAUCUUUUCAUUUCAGGUUGCUAGUCCUAGACGAACCCAACCCCUGUGUUGAGUCCCCUAAAUCAAUUGCAACAUGAUGCAAAUAAGCGUUCCUACUAGGGAUCCGGCAUGAAGUCACGUUAUUCUAGGUUCAAAACCUGGGUAUGUGUUAUAGAUUGUGUACCCGAGGGGACAACUCGAGUUGAGAAAGGGGCAACUUACCGAGAACCAAAAGGCCAUCCAGCUUCAUAACUUGUCUAGCCUCUUUCUUAUUACUGGAUAUGACACUAACAGAAUAGAGAGUCUUAACCAGUAAGCACAUCCCCGGAGGUGAGAAGAGAAGGGUGUCAAACAGUUUAUAAACAAUUCAGAUAAUAUCAAAGCGGUAACAUUUAGCGCAUUCAGCACAAAACAUGUAAGAAAAUCAGAUAUAACCAAAUACAAUAAUUUAUCUAAUCUCGAAUUCUGAACCCUGAAAAAACUAUUCUGGGUUCUUUUCCCCAGCAGAGUCGCCAGAGCUGUCAUACCUCAUUUUUACCACACCCUCAAGGGCGUAAAAGAGUUUUUCCAAUUAAAGGACAAUCGGAAAGGGAUUUAAUUAUUAAAGUUCAUAGUCGCCACUUGGGAGAUUAAUAGUGUCCCAAGUCACAGAGUAAAUCCCGAACCGAGGAAAAUUAUGACUCUGUUAACAGUACGCGAAUCAGAAAUCCGAGUAAGGAAUUAUAUUAACCCUGAAGAAGGUGUUAGGCAUUUCCGGAUUCCGUGGUUCUAGCAAGGUCCCUUAACUGUUGUAUUUGAUUUUAUCUAAUUUUUAAAACAUGUUCUAUCUUAUGCGCUUUUAGUUAUAAACUGCUUUUAUAUUUAUUUUUAAUGGGAAUUGCAACAUCGUAAAAAUACAUCUCGAACCACGUCACAUCAAUGCGUCCGUGGUUGUCGACACAUUUCGACUUUAUUGAGAUUUGGAUUUGGGUCGCAUCAAUACGCACCCAAAUUUAAGAAUGUAAUUUUAUUAAAAUCGUACUUAAAGAGUCUAACAUAUUAUGCUUUUGGGGAAGGUCGUGAAAUUCGCUAAACGGCUCUCCCGAAUUCUAAGUAUUUUUAGUAUAAAUAUUUAUUAAGGGCCCCAUAAUUUAUUUGUUUUGUUCGGCAAGACUUGUCUCAUUUUUAUUUUUUUAAGCAAAUCCUAAAGAGACUAUGAUUUUCUAUAUUCUUUGUCUGUAAUAAAAUCAAAAUCCAUAUUAAUGGACUGACGAGUGGUUUAUUAGCAAAAGUAACAAAUGGCCCUCAAUAUCAUCUCCUAGGAAAAAAAACUAUUUGGGCCCAAUGCAGGCACAAGGCAAGCCCAGACGGACGCCAGUGCCUCAACUCAACAUCGAACCCCCACAAAGGAGACACAAAUAUGCAAUUACGGGAAAUAUUCUAGGCAGCUAUGCCAUAUCGAGCUCAUAUAACUUAUAACAAGCCAUAAUCCUAAAUUAAUUGGGCAAUUUGAUGGUACUGCACCCUUAAACAAUUUACUAAUCAAUGCAAUGACUAAUCUUUGAUUUUAAAAACAUACUGCAAAAUAGGAAAUUAAAUUACGAAAUGGCUAAAAGUCCCAACAGUCAAAUUAAUAGUGCAUAUUAAGAUCAACUAACCAUUGGCCUACAAUUAUUAGCUUCAUUUCGAAAAGAAAAAUAAAUGCUAAACCAAACUGAUAUCGACUAUAUGAGAAGCUAUUGCUAGAUGAUCAACAGUUUGCACAACUCAAUAGGCCGAGUGAGUACACAUAGAGAUAUGCUAGAACUCUGCAUUAUAAUAUCAACACAAGCUAAGCCAAACUAAAUUGCUACACACAUGGAUUACAUCUAAUUAAUCUAACAUUAUACUACUUAACAAUCCAGUCCAGAAUUAUUACAGAGUUUAAUCACAAUAAACAAGCAAAUGUGGCAGGGCCAUUAAAAUCACAAAGCCACAGUGCCAAAUUAUCCUUAAUUUCAUUUCAUAUCUCAACAGAUGAAGCUACAUCAAUGGAGUCUCGAGAUGUGUACCUGAAUGUCGAAAUACAAGAAGAAUAAGAAGAAGAUCAGCUAUAAUAGCAGAUUCCAGCAGAAUAAUUUGCUAACAGCAGGAAACACAGCAAGUUCAACCCAGAAACGAGUUCAACAAUCGAAGGAUAAUUCCAAACCAAACAGAAGCCAACAAAACAGUCGCAAUUAGCUUGAACAAAACCCAAGUGACUUCGAAUUCAAACCCAGAAAUACCUCUGAAACCUCAUCAACUAAAACAAACCAAAAUAGCUUGAAUACAUUCAAAAAACAGCUUGAAAUUGAACUCAAGAUCAGCUAUAAUAGCAGAUUCCAGCGGAAUAAUUUGCUAACAGCAGGAAACACAGCAAGUUCAACCCAGAAACGAGUUCAACAAUCGAAGGAUAAUUCCAAACCAAACAGAAGCCAACAAAACAGUCGCAAUUAGCUUGAACAAAACCCAAGUGACUUCGAAUUCAAACCCAGAAAUACCUCUGAAACCUCAUCAACUAAAACAAACCAAAAUAGCUUGAAUACAUUCAAAAAACAGCUUGAAAUUGAACUCAAGGUCACCAAGAACUCAGAUUUUUAACUGACAGUGCAGAAAUUCCAAUGUAAUAGUGUAUUUUUGUAGUUUUUUUGUAUUGUUUCUAUUUUUUUUGGUUUCUGAAGAUUUGGAGUUUUGAAAUUCAAAUUUCAGCUGGGAAGACUUAGAGAAUACUCUAGAGGAAUUUUCAGAUCUGUGUGCUUGAAGGGAGUUUUGGGGAGGGAAUUUUGGGCUCCCAAAACUUGUUCAUUAAGGCAUUGGUGUUGCCCUUUUAUAGGCAAAGAUGAGGGCAACCCUCAAUUUUCUGUUUACAAAUCAGUCCCUUAUUUAUUUUCACAAUAGUCCUCUACUUAAUGACCUGCUUCUCAAGUAAGUGCACCUAUUUUCUGAAUUUAGAGUAAAAGUUAUAUUCUAGAAGGUUCUAGUGAAUUCCAAUCAGUUUUAAAAGAUUCCCUUAUCCCUGAAUUGCCCCACUUACUCCUACUUUAUUCAAAGAUUUACUAAACUAAUCCAAAUGAAUUCAGCCUCCUUUUACCCAAGUUAAGCCUAUCCACUGUAGCCAACUUCAUCAGAUUAACAACUAAGUGAACUGAGCAUUACCGAAUGUCCAAACUAACUAAACCGAAUGAUCUACAACCAAUUGAUAACAACCAAAAGGGGUACUAAGAUCAGAUUUAAGUUUAAAUAAAUUCAAACAAGAUUGACUAAAGCAGAACAAACAAGAAAAAUAAUCUAGUAUUCAAACUAUUAGAUUCCCAAAUCUACAAACGACUCUAACCUACGAAUUGC
RNAcentral lists this long non-coding RNA (7346 nucleotides) under Nicotiana benthamiana. RNAcentral's name for it is "long non-coding RNA (NBEN_LNC017748)". The record is from RNAcentral. Lineage: Eukaryota; Viridiplantae; Streptophyta; Magnoliopsida; Solanales; Solanaceae.